AUAUUUUUAAUCAAAUUUCGUCAAUUAACAUCUUUACACGAAUAUUUUUUGUUUUACACAUAGUAACGGAUUUUUAUUUUAUUUUUUAUUCCUCGAUCGCGCAAAUUCGGCUUUGUGAAUCUGCAGUAAAAACCGGCUGACCGAAAUCCUCUAUCUGUAUACUGCCUUCCUAGUGAAACAAGCAAUAUAUGUUAAAUUUUCAAAAUUGUGGUCAUUUCAAAUUCGAUGUAUUAAGAUAAUUCAGCGAUUUUUUUUCCUUAGGAAAAACACAAUAACUCCACUAAAAAUGCUUUUAAAACGCAUUAUAAAAUGUAUCAACCAAAACAUUGUCAAAUACUUGGGGGAAAUACAGUAUGUACAUUUUUGUAGCAUGUCCUAGAGAAUAAAGCAGUAUGUACAAUGGAUAUAUCGCUUAUUUUUCUAUACUCUAUUCCAAAUUUUACUGAGAAGGCAAGGGAGGCAGUGCCUCACU
Cinara cedri is the source of this 472-nucleotide non-coding RNA. NCBI's taxonomy places the organism in Eukaryota, Metazoa, Arthropoda, Insecta, Hemiptera, Aphididae. The record is from the annotation of a GenBank genome assembly.